ACAAUGAUGACUUGCAUGUUAUAGAUUUGUGAUUAAAACUUAAAAUUUCACGAAUCUAUAAUAUGCAAGUUAUCACUGC
This 79-nucleotide microRNA precursor is filed under the name Pongo abelii (Sumatran orangutan). RNAcentral describes it as "miRNA". The record is from RNAcentral. Lineage: Eukaryota; Metazoa; Chordata; Mammalia; Primates; Hominidae.